AGCGAACGCUGGCGGCAGGCCUAACACAUGCAAGUCGAACGGAAGCACAGUAAGAGCUUGCUCUUAUCGGUGGCGAGUGGCGGACGGGUGAGGAAUAUAUCGUAAUCUACUUUUUCGUGGGGGUUAACGAAGCGAAACCUACGCCAAUAUCGCAUACGCUCUACGGGUGAAAGCAGGGGAUCUUUGGAGCUUGUGCGAAUGAAUGAGCCGAUGUUGGAUUAGUUAGUUGGCGGGGUACAGGCCCACCAAGUCGACGAUCCGUAGCUGGUGUGGGUGGAUGGUCGGCCACACUAGAACGUGGACGCGGACCAUGGUCCUACGAGAGGCAGCAGUGUGGAAUGUUAGACAAUAGUCGGAAGCCUUAUCCAACCAUACCACGUGUGAUGAAGAGGCCUUGGGGUUGUAAAGCCCUUUUGUUGGGAAAAAAAAGCAGCAGGUUAAGACCCCGCUGGUCUGACGGUACCCAAAAAAUAAGCACCGGCUAACUUCGUG
This 492-nucleotide ribosomal RNA is filed under the name uncultured bacterium. RNAcentral's name for it is "partial 16S ribosomal RNA". It matches the Rfam family "Bacterial small subunit ribosomal RNA", at positions 29 to 507 of the family's 1533-position model. The record is from RNAcentral.